UACAGAGGGGGCAAGCGUUAUUCGGAAUUAUUGGGCGUAAAGGGCGCGUAGGCGGCCUGACAAGUGGAAGGUGAAAUCCCUCGGCUUAACCGAGGAACUGCCCUCCAAACUGUCUGGCUUGAGACCGGGAGAGGUGAGUGGAAUUCCCAGUGUAGCGGUGAAAUGCGUAGAUAUUGGGAGGAACACCAGUGGCGAAGGCGGCUCUCUGGACCUCUGCUGACGCUGAGGCGCGAAAGCGUGGGGAGCGAACAGG
This 253-nucleotide ribosomal RNA is filed under the name uncultured bacterium. RNAcentral describes it as "partial 16S ribosomal RNA". It matches the Rfam family "Bacterial small subunit ribosomal RNA", at positions 524 to 776 of the family's 1533-position model. The record is from RNAcentral.